UUAACACAAAUUUGUAUGGAGCUGGAACGUUUGCUUACGUUUGCGGCUAGGGGCGCUGUUACAACUGCAUACAAUUUUGAGUUA
This 84-nucleotide microRNA precursor is filed under the name Bombyx mori (domestic silkworm). RNAcentral's name for it is "mir-2807 microRNA precursor family". It matches the Rfam family "mir-2807 microRNA precursor family". Lineage: Eukaryota; Metazoa; Arthropoda; Insecta; Lepidoptera; Bombycidae. The record is from Rfam by way of RNAcentral.